This 432-nucleotide ribosomal RNA is filed under the name uncultured soil bacterium. RNAcentral describes it as "bacterial SSU rRNA". It matches the Rfam family "Bacterial small subunit ribosomal RNA", at positions 965 to 1393 of the family's 1533-position model. The record is from RNAcentral.
AGAACCUUACCAGCCCUUGACAUGCCUCGUAUGGGGUGGGGAGACCCACUUCUUCAGUUUGGCUGGCGGGGACACAGGUGCUGCAUGGCUGUCGUCAGCUCGUGUCGUGAGAUGUUGGGUUAAGUCCCGCAACGAGCGCAACCCCCAUCUGCAGUUGCCAUCGGGUUAUGCCGGGCACUCUGCAGAAACUGCCGGUGACAAGCCGGAGGAAGGCGGGGAUGACGUCAAGUCCUCAUGGCCCUUAUGGGCUGGGCUACACACGUGCUACAAUGGCGGUGACAGAGGGAGGCAAGGGUGCGAGCCUGCGCCAAUCUCAAAAAGCCGUCUCAGUUCGGAUUGCUCGCUGCAACUCGCGAGCAUGAAGUCGGAAUCGCUAGUAAUCGCGGAUCAGCAUGCCCGCGGUGAAUACGUUCCCGGGCCUUGUCACACCGA